This is a long non-coding RNA of Myotis myotis, 2391 nucleotides long. RefSeq lists it as uncharacterized. The transcript is spliced from 3 exons. Lineage: Eukaryota; Metazoa; Chordata; Mammalia; Chiroptera; Vespertilionidae. The record is from RefSeq and is a predicted model, not a curated record.
CGCUGCGCCGCCGCCUCCUGCGGCCGCCCGCGCUGUCGCCUCCACGUCAGCCUCGGCGGGAGGAAGGGGAGGAGGAGCCGGGCCGGGCGGCCGCAGCCACAGCCCCGCCGGCUCGCCCGGCGCAGCCCGGACCCCUCCGGCCGCCCCGGCCCGCCCCGGGCUCUAGGGAAGGGGCGGCCGGGUCUCAGCCCGGAGGAAGCGGAAAGAAGGUCAUCCCUGAACUGAGCAUCUAGGAUUAACUCAGCUCCAAGCUCCUGUUCUUAACAGCCUGAUGUCUCAUGCUAAGAAGCAGGUCACGGCAUUUAUCUAAAGAUGCGCCUCUCCCAGCGGGUCACAGCCUCUGCAGCCUGGCCAUGACCAUGACAGUGACAGCAAAGAGGACUGUUCAUAGUGUGGGGGUAGCCUCUCUGGACCAGGCCUCCCUCUGCAACUGGAACUGCAGUGACACAGGAGAUUCAAGACAGCAGAGACCGCCAGGCCAAGGGUCUCACUGUCCCUUCAUCCCAUUAGACAGAUAUUCUCGUUUUCUGCCAAAUCUGCGAUUCCUUUCAAUGUCCAAACAGCUGUGGGCCCCCGAGCUGCUGCAUGCGGCUUGCCUGGUCUGGAGGAAGACAAAGAGGUGGGUAGCUGCAGCCCACAGCCUGGGUUUGAAACAGGCAUGUUUGAGCGAGUGUUUCAAAGGAUGGCAGUGAUCUGCUCAUUUUUAUUACAUUCGUGGGGCGGAAUUUGUCAGCCCUUGGUGACACCCAUUAUAAUGCUUUGACCUCAUUCAGUCACCAAAGGGCAGAUUUCUCUUUGUUCUCUAACAGAAACACAACAUGGCAAGUAAACGUGAGUUCUAAAACGAGACUGUCACACGGGGUAUUUAUGAGCCUAUCAUGUCUCCGCUGUUGCACUGAGAAGCUCACCUUUGGAGAAGGAGGCAUAUAUGUGCCCCUUAUGGGCCCUCGUGUGACACAGUGUUGCUAUUUAUGAAGCCUGUCUAUUCCCAUGAGACAAGAGGAGUAAUCUUAAGGUGAUAUAAGAGAGACUUAGGAGGCUUUCCUUUAGCAUUAUAGGGUCAUUAAUUCACUUGACAAACAAUUGUGUUUUUAUUUUUAAAUUAAAAAAAAAAAUUUAAAUCCUCACCCUAUUGAUUUUAGAGAGAGGGGAAGGGAGAGAGAGAGAGAAACAUCAAUUGGUUGCCUCCUGUACAAGCCCCAACUGGGAAUCAAACCUACAACCUAGGUAUGUGCCCCGACCCGUAAUGGAACCCGCAACCUUUCGGUGAAGAGGACGACACUCCAACCAACUGAGCCAAAGCACAACAAACGUUUCUUGAGCAUUUGUACGCUGAGCUGGGCCAUGGGGAUGACAACCAGGCUUGGACCUGGCUCUGUCCUCGAGGCUCUUCAUCAAGCAGCUGAGCUCUACAGGAACACAGAGAAAUGCUCCAGGACCAGCCUCUUCAGCUAGGAUGUCACCCAGGCUUCAAGGGCCAGGAAUGGAUCUUGGGAGCUGGGUCCAUUUGGUACACUUAAAAUGGUUAAAAUGGCAAAUGUUAUGUUAUCUCUAUUUUUCCAUAAUAAAAAAAUAGUAAAAGAAAAAACUUUGAGAGAAAAGAAAAACACUCAGAAACUGAAAAACCAGGUAGGUCCAUGUGGAAAGCUGAGACGGGGCAAGAUCAAAGACACAGAGGCACAGAAAGCACCCUUUGGCCAGUUUACUCACAGAUGCCAGAACGUUUAGAAACGAGGAAGCAAUGACCCCUUUCCAAAGUGAAGGGAGGAGAAAUUGGACAAGAACUUUAGAAAGGGGGCCUAGGGAGAAGCAGGGAGUGUGCAAGCUGAGACGUCUUCACCUCUCUGUGACUUAUCCUCAUCUAUACCAUGAGCAGAUUGGGCCCGAUGACCUUGAAGAUCGGUGACUAUGAAAUAAAAGCAGAAUUUUCCAUUUGAAUGGAACUCUGUACAAAAGGUUAGUGAAGGUGAUACUCAUAUCAUCCAAGAGAGCUUACAGAGCGUUCGAAGUGUGAGGAAUCUUAGCAGUCUGGAUCCUUAUUAUACAAGAGAAGAAACAGGCCCAGAGUGGUAAGGUCACAGAGCUUGUAGGGACAGAGCUGUGGCGAGAGCCCAGACUUUGGAUUCCCGUGCCCUGCCUCUUUCACAAUGCUUACAGCUUGGCAAUAUUUGAGGUUCCUAAGAGCAGGAUUCUGGUUGUCUAUUGCUAGUCAAUAAACUUCCCCAAACCAAUGGCUUAAAUAUUAAUUUAUCACUGUCUCUUGUGGUUUUGUGGGUUGACUGGGCUCAGGUGGAGUCUCCCAGGUAGAAGUCAGAUGGAGGCUGGGGCUGCGGUCCUCUGAAGACAUGUCUGGGCUGGAUGUCCCAGUUGGCUCGCUCACAUGGCUAGUAG